This 337-nucleotide ribosomal RNA is filed under the name uncultured Bacillota bacterium. RNAcentral describes it as "bacterial SSU rRNA". It matches the Rfam family "Bacterial small subunit ribosomal RNA", at positions 28 to 351 of the family's 1533-position model. The record is from RNAcentral. Lineage: Bacteria; Bacillati; Bacillota.
GACGAACGCUGGCGGCGUGCCUAAUACAUGCAAGUCGAGCGGAGAUUAGAAGAAGCUUGCUUCUUCUAAUCUUAGCGGCGGACGGGUGAGUAACACGUGGGCAACCUACCUUGUAGAUUGGGAUAACUCCGGGAAACCGGGGCUAAUACCGAAUAAUCCAUUUCGCUUCAUGGCGAGAUGUUGAAAGACGGUUUCGGCUGUCACUACGAGAUGGGCCCGCGGCGUAUUAGCUAGUUGGUAGGGUAAUGGCCUACCAAGGCGACGAUACGUAGCCGACCUGAGAGGGUGAUCGGCCACACUGGGACUGAGACACGGCCCAGACACCUACGGGUGGCUG